This 485-nucleotide ribosomal RNA is filed under the name uncultured bacterium. RNAcentral's name for it is "partial 16S ribosomal RNA". It matches the Rfam family "Bacterial small subunit ribosomal RNA", at positions 30 to 506 of the family's 1533-position model. The record is from RNAcentral.
AUUGAACGCUGGCGGCAUGCCUUACACAUGCAAGUCGAACGGCAGCACGGGUGCUUGCACCUGGUGGCGAGUGGCGAACGGGUGAGUAAUACAUCGGAACAUGUCCUGUAGUGGGGGAUAGCCCGGCGAAAGCCGGAUUAAUACCGCAUACGAUCUACGGAUGAAAGCGGGGGACCUUCGGGCCUCGCGCUAUAGGGUUGGCCGAUGGCUGAUUCGCUAGUUGGUGGGGUAAAGGCCUACCAAGGCGACGAUCAGUAGCUGGUCUGAGAGGACGACCAGCCACACUGGGACGAGGACACGGCCCAGACUCCUACGGGAGGCAGCAGUGGGGAAUUUUGGACAAUGGGCGAAAGCCUGAUCCAGCAAUGCCGGGUGUGUGAAGAAGGCCUUCGGGUUGUAAAGCACUUUUGUCCGGAAAGAAAUCCUUGGCUCUAAUACAGUCGGGGGAUGACGGUACCGGAAGAAUAAGCACCGGCUAACUACGU